AGCUUUGAUUCCCACUGAGAUUUUUUUCCUCUCCUUUUUCCAGUGAACAGCUCGACUCUGAAUUUCCCCACUCGACCAGCAGGGAUAAUCCCAGCAUGCUGAGUGAGGCUGAGGGAUCAGACUUGCUCCAGUUCACAUCUGUCACCUCGUCCCUAGGCUGAUGCUGGUGCUUCCCAGAGCAUUGUUCCUCCAGUGCUGGUUACACUGAAGCAUCUCUCUCCCAGGCCAAGUUUUUAGCCUCAGUGGCUCAUACCCUUGGUGAUGGAGUUUGUGUAGCCUUCAGGUUUGACUUCUGAAAUUGCUGCUCACACGUUUUGCUGAUAUCACAUGGGCUGAGAACAUCACCACGCUCCAUUCACCACAGGUGAUCUGGACACCAUUGUAUCCCCACGGGGUCAUUUUAGUUGCAAAAGUCUAGCAGAGAUAACUUAGGAAAGGGUUAUUUACACUGCAAACCUUCCCCAGGUCUCCUGGCAGGCGGGUUGCUUGAUGGGGCACCCACCCAGGCUUUUUGCACAUUUUUGUGAUUGUGAAAGCUCUUCCGCAGAGGAGCUUUUUAUUUGCACAUGGCUGGACAGCACUUGGCACAUACUAAGUGGCCUUAGCGGCCGCUCCUGUGAUGCGCUGCAGCCUUGCCCGGUAAAUAAGAUUUGAUGUGUUUUUCCCUUGCUGAUUUUUUCCCUGCUGUAGGCUCCACUGCUGCGUCUCUCCAAGCCACCUUCCCAAAGGAUUAUUGCCACCAGUCCAUGAGGAGCAGGCAGCUCCAUCAGCGCAGCUGUCUCACUGUGUGCUCUUAUCAGCUUGGCUCAUCACAGCAAGACCUCUACAGCCUCCCUGGAAUUUCUGGCAGAUAUUAUCACUUCCCAGGUGAAGACCUGCAUUAGCCUGCCAUGCAAGAAAGCAAAUCAUGCCCUGCUUGGGCUCUGAAACCAUUGCCAAGCCCUGAAGAAAGAGUAGAGAAGGUGAAAUUUGUCCCUUAAUUUCCUGAAGACUGAUGUGAUGAUCACACAGAGCCCUCAGAAAAGAAUCUAUCAGUGUCACAUGUUGAGCGGGGGACUCUCGGUUCAGGCCACCCCUUCCCAUCCCUCAUCCCCCUGGCUUUUCUCUCACGUAUUUAUACCGCAGGUCCCUGACCUCUCCUCUUCUUUGGGCCCGUGCCAGGCACAGUUGUUUGUCCUGAUGUACAAUUCCCCUGUGGGCUGUUCCUGGUCCAAGGGGCCAUGGAUCAGGGGAAUGACCCACAGGGACAAACAGCCCUGGCCCUGAACAUCCCCUUUGGCUGCAGUCUAUCCAGGCAGGCAUCUCCCGUGGGAUGAUCAGCACCAGCACUCUUUCACUCACAUGGAAAGUAAAUAGUGACCAUGAGAAAACAAGUUAAAAAGGAAUACUUGCUCAGAUUUGAGGCAUGCCCUCCCUCAGUAGAAGUUCACAGUACCAGGCAUUAAAUGAGAUUUCUGAGAACUCCAUUCUUUUUCAUGGAAGAGAUGCCAGGUUAGUCCUGAGGGCACAGGGUCUUGUGGGUAUCUACAUAUGGCUUGUGUUUAAAAAAAAAAAAAAAAAAAAAAAAAAUCAAAACCAUCUCAGAUACUUCAUGGUGGCAAUUCUGAAUUAAAGCAUUGAUUUUUCAAAGCAUUCAGUUUUGUAGUUUUUUUAAAGGUUAUUAUUACUUUGAAGUUUAUAAACACUUAAUACUGGAAAAGAGAAAAACAGCCCUCAUUUAUCCCAGAAUUAUUUAGAUCCUUGUUUUCAUGAUGAGAGUCUUUGGCACGGCUUAUGGAAGAUGAAAAAUUCACAAAGUGCAAGGCAUAAAGAGGUGCAUGACUUUGGCAAACUUUCCUCAAAAGGGAUGGGAACGUUGUUUUAGGAAGGGUGCCUUUGGAUGAAAGAAAAACAAAAAGAAAUUAUGAUGGAAGAAAACAAAAGCAGCUUCACAGCAGGAUUUAACUGGCAAAACCCAAGCAGCAUUAUCUUCUUAACCCUCUCACUACUAAGAAACAAAAUUCUGUCUAAACCAAAUUUUCCUUGUAGUCAUUCUGUCCCUCUCUAUGUGUUCCAAGUAACAAUGUCCUGUUAUUCCCCUCCUUCACUUCUCAGUCUACAGGAACUAUUCUUGCAUGUCCCAAAUGCCUCUGAUUUCAUUGCCAGCCUCUAAAAUAUUCACUGUACCAUCUGGAACACCAUUUCUCACCUGAAUGUAAGCAAGAGCCUCUUUUGAAUUGGGAGAUCUGCACAGCAUCUCUGAGAUAUGCCUGGAUCAGCUGCACUAUCUGAGUGCAAAGGGCUUAUCAUUACUUUACAAGUGGUGUUUGUAGAGCUCUGAUAAACAGAAUGAUUAUCUUA
This is a long non-coding RNA of Parus major (Great Tit), 2340 nucleotides long. RefSeq lists it as uncharacterized. The transcript is spliced from 2 exons. The record is from RefSeq and is a predicted model, not a curated record. Lineage: Eukaryota; Metazoa; Chordata; Aves; Passeriformes; Paridae.